CCAUUCUCAGUUGGAGUCUUGAUAUGAUCUAUUAAGGCACGCUGUGAAUGCCA
RNAcentral lists this microRNA precursor (53 nucleotides) under Schmidtea mediterranea. Its description in RNAcentral is "Sme-Mir-124-P30_pre stem-loop". Lineage: Eukaryota; Metazoa; Platyhelminthes; Tricladida; Dugesiidae. The record is from RNAcentral.